CACAAUCAGAACCUAUGACUUGGGAGCUCUUUCUCUGAGAAAAACAGAAAGAGGAUCAGUGACAAGUCCGGGCUGCAGAUAUAAAUUUGGGCGUCGUCAUCAUCAUAUAGAUGGUAAUUAAAGCCUUGGGAGAAGAUGAGAUCACCCAAUGAAGGCAUAUAGAACAAGCGAAUAUGUAACUCCAUCAAGAGAUCCAGAACAGAUGGAUGCUGUUUCUUAGGGGAUAAAUGGAGUUGUUUGUUUUUUUAACUUAAAAAGUAAAGUAACUGUUUGAACAACAAAAGAAGAACAACAACAACAACAAGAAAAAAAAAUCCAAAGAGGCAUUUUCAAUAUCUUAAAAUCAAGUUAUAAUUGAUACAAUCUUUAACAAAGAACAAUUUGGCAAUAAAGAACAAUGACAGCUUAGAGGAAACUGACCAAAAAGGUCUGGGGAAAUGACAGGGAACAGCAUCUUGUGUCCCUUGGAACUUCCAUUCUAGUAAUGAGAGAUGGUCACUCAACAGGAAAAAAUUACAACUGAAAGACAGUGGAGAAUGGAGCCAUAGGAGGGCAAGAGUGGAUAUAGACCACCACCAUCCAGGACAGCGAUGACAAGCACUUGGACUGGAGUGGUAGCACUGCAGAGAGAGGCAGAGACCUAGGCAGAAGGAGAAGCAGGCUCCAUGCAGGAAGCCAAAUGUGGGACUCGACUCUGAGACCCCAGGAUCAUCCCCUGAGCCAAAGGCAGAUGCUCAACCACUGAGCCACCCAGGCAUCCCAAUAAUUGAACUUUUGAAUAAAUGUGUGCAUUUACUGUCUA
Long non-coding RNA from Canis lupus familiaris (dog), 802 nucleotides. RefSeq lists it as uncharacterized. The record is from RefSeq and is a predicted model, not a curated record. The transcript is spliced from 6 exons. Lineage: Eukaryota; Metazoa; Chordata; Mammalia; Carnivora; Canidae.